This 75-nucleotide transfer RNA is filed under the name bacterium HR23. RNAcentral's name for it is "tRNA-Gly". It matches the Rfam family "tRNA". Rfam says of the family: Transfer RNA (tRNA) molecules are approximately 80 nucleotides in length. Their secondary structure includes four short double-helical elements and three loops (D, anti-codon, and T loops). The record is from RNAcentral.
GCGGGCGUAACUCAGCGGUAGAGUGUCUGCUUCCCAGGCAGAAAGUCGGGGGUUCAAAUCCCCUCGCCCGCUCCA